Leucoraja erinaceus (little skate) is the source of this 6216-nucleotide long non-coding RNA. RefSeq lists it as uncharacterized. Lineage: Eukaryota; Metazoa; Chordata; Chondrichthyes; Rajiformes; Rajidae. The record is from RefSeq and is a predicted model, not a curated record. The transcript is spliced from 3 exons.
AGCUGUAUGAAAAUUGUAUAAUUGUUAUGUCGAUUACUUUCUCCUUGCACAAUUGCUUCUAAUAAAAUUAAUUUAAAAAAAAAAUAAAUAAAUAGAAUUAAAAAAAAUAUAUAUAUAUUAUUGGGAAGCAGGAAGCCAAUUGAGGGUGGAGGCACUUAUGAGUGGGACUGGUGUGGACAGUAAAUGAAUGGGACAGGUGUGGGACAAGAGAUGAAUGGGGGUGGUGUGAACUGUGGAUGUAUGGGGCAGGUGAGGAUCGUGGAUGAAUGGGAAGUAGAGAUAAUCUAGAAAAUUGCAGGCCACUGAGUCUUGAGUCAGUGGUAGGGAAGCUAUUGGAGCGGAUACUUUGGAAUAGGAUUUAUUCACAUUUGGAAGGAAAUGGGAUAACUAAGUACAGUCAUCAUGGCUUUUUCCAUGGCAGAUCACGUCUUACUAAUUUGAAUUAGCUUUUUGAGGAGGUGUCAAAGGUGAUUGAUCAGAGUAAGGCAGUGGCUGUUGUCUAUGUGGAUUUUAGUAAGGCAUUUGAUAAAGUCCCCCAUGGUAGGUUGAUCCAGAAGUUUAAGAUGUACGGAAGAGAGACACAAACUGCUAGAGUAACUCCGCGGGACAGGUAGCAUCUCUGGAUAGAAGGAAUGGGAGAUGUUUUGGGUUGAGAACCCUCUUCUGACAGGUGUACGGAAGAUGUAUGGAAUCAGUGGUGUAUGUGGCUGUAGAUGGGACAUCUGCUGCCUGGAUUGGAGAGUUUUUCAUUAGAGGGAUAAACUUGAAUCAUUUUCUCUGCAGCGUUGGAGGUUGAGAGUAGACCUGAUAGAAGUACAUGAAACUAUGAGAGCCAUAUAUAGAGUAGACAUUCAGAACCUUUUUUCCAACAGUAGGAAUGUCAAAGGCUAGAGGGUGUAGCUUUAAUGUCAGAGGGAAAAGUUUAAAGGGGAUGUGCAGGGCAAGUUUCAUUUACACUGAGGGUGGUGGCUACCAGGAAUGCGUUGCUCAGAGUGAUGGUGGAAGCAGAUACAACAGUGGUGUUUAAGAGGUUUUUAGAUAGACACAUUGAUAUGCAAGAAAUAGAGGGAUAUGGAUUAUUUGCAUGCAGUGGAUAUUAGUACAAAUUGGCAUCUGGUUUAGCAAAGACAUUGUGGACCAAGGAGCCUGUUUUAGUGCUGUAUUAUUCCAUCUUUUUGCAUAUCAUUCAACAGCUCAAAUUCUAUGAAUAGUACUCCCUGGUAUGAACUGUGCCACAAUCCACUGGUGAUAUAGUUGUGUAAGCAGACGACUGAUUUCUGAGAUGUUUAAGAAGCCAGAUUUUCACUUCUUUGUGCAGAUGGCCAGGAAUUUUAUAUUUGAACAACUGCUGAGCAACAACAGUGUUAAAUAUCUGAAACAGAUGCUCUUUUGUGUCUGCAUUUCAUUUUCAAGACUUUUAAGCUAUUACAACUUGGCGCCAUUGAAUUUCAACACAAACUUUGGUGCCUCACACGAAUCAACUUCAUGAAUCUUCUCUGUUCUGCCUCCAACAUAAACACAUCAUUUGUGAAAGAGAGAACUGCAGAUGCUUGUGUUCAAGAAGGAACUGCAGGUCCUGGAAGGUACACAAAAUUGCUGGAGAAACUCAGCGGGUGCAGCAGCAUCUAUGGAGCGAAGGAAAUAGGCGACGUUUCGGACCGAAACCCUUCUUCAGACUAAAACUGGUGAGAAAUUUCCAGUGGAGUUGCCCAAGGGUAUCCUCGGACCAGUGCUUUUCUUAAUCUACAAUAAUGAGUUGGACUUAGGUAUGCAGCAGAUAAUUUUUAAAUCUGCUUAAGGCAGAAAAACCUGGUCUACUGUCAGGUGGAUAUCAAUAAACUUCAAGGAAAUAUACACAACAUUGUGAAAUCAACAGACAAAAUGAUGGAAUGGGAAAAGCGAUGGCAGAUGGAAUUUAAUGUUUAGAAAUGCUAAGUGGAAGGAAAAAUAGGAGGAUUAUGAACUAGAAAACAAUUCUGUCUGAAAAAGGUACAAGAAGAGAGAUCGACAUCAUUCCUUGAAAAAUGUCAAGCCAAGACGAGACAGUGAUUAUAAAAAUAUGCCUUUUAAAUAGAGGCACACCAUGCCAGAGCAAGAAAAACACAACAAAUCUUUAAUGAAAAACACAGUGGUUCGGCUACAAUCAAGUACUGUGUUCAAUUCUGGCUGCUGCAUUUUAGGCAAGGUGUAAAAGCUUUACAGAUGUGCAGAAGAUAUUGACCUCUUCUUCUUGCGUAUGGCGUGCACAGCCUAAAGUUGUAGGACAACUUGUUCUAUUUGAUCUUAUUUGAUUGUGCACGCCGGGUUGAUUGCAUUCAUCGAAACAGGGUGGACCACGUGAAGGUUGCAAUCUCCCACCCCAAGAAAUUGACUGAAAUGAUUCCAGGGAUGAGAGCCAUAGUUAUAUGGAUAGACUAGAAAAGCAAGUGUUGUUUUCCUUGGAAAGGGGAGGCUAUGAGGAGAUCAGAUAGAAGUAUUUAAAAUCUUGAAAUCUUGGGCAGUAACAUGGAUAGAAACCGUUCAUAUUGGUAUAGGUUUGAAGAACUAGGGGACAUGGAAUAAAACUGAUUGGCAAUAAAAAUUAGAAGUGACAUGAGGAAAAGUUUUUAACACAGUGAGUAUUUAAGGCCUGCAAUGCUGUAUUAGUAGUGAAGGCAAAUUCAAUUGUAGCACUACCAAAGGGUAGGCAUCUAAAAGGAUAGAAUUUGCAAGAUUAUGAUAAGUAAGCAAGGGAAUGAGACUAGAUAAUUGUUCACAUAAAGAACAUGUAAAAUGACAUAACCAGCAGCAUUAUUUUCAUGCCGUAUCAUUCUGUGAUUUCUGUCAUAUUGUGUUUUAUUGUUCUCAAUUUGCCUGUGAUUUACAGAUAAUGCAGAGCAAAUUAUUUGAUUGUUCAUUGACAACAUGGUACUUGAGAGCUUCAAAAUCUUUGGUGUAAAUAUUACCAAUGAUCUGCCGUGGUCAUUCACACUGAAGUGACAGCCACGGAGGAACACAAAUGCAGUUACUUCUUCAGGAGACUGAGGAAAUUCGGCAUGUCCCAAAUAACUCUUACAUAAUUCUACAGAUGCACCAUAGAAACCAUACUAUCCAGUUACAUCACAAUGCGGUUUGGCAAAAACUCUGCCCAAUGUCACAAGAACUUGCAGAGAGUGAUGAAAGUUGCCCAGGAAAAUUGGCAACAUAAUCAAAGAUUAUACAGAAGCAUGAAAGCAUGCACUACCAGAUUCAGGAACAGCUUGUACCCUUCUGUUAUAAGGCUUCGGAACGGGAUUUCCAGAAGCUCGAGUAUAUCCGAUUCUCCUCUAUCUCAUUGGGAACAUUGGACUUUUGUCUCGGAACUGUUGCGCUAGAUUCUGCAAUUUGCAUCUUUACUAAUUGCACUCGAGUUUGGCUUAGUUAUAUAUAGUAAUACCUGCAAAAACAAAGCCUUUCACUGUCAAUAAUAGACCUAAACCUAUUCUCGGUACACGUCACAAUAAUAAACUAAACUAAACAUUUCUUGAUUCAGAACCAGCAUGGUUUACUAAUCAUUCUUCAACCUCAAUGCUUGGGGAGACUGCUGCUGCCUACCAGUUCAUAUUAGUGCAUUGUGGAAGAUGAUGUGCUGAAAUGAAUUUACAAUCACCACAUACAAAACCAUAAAAACACACACAAAGUCUGUGAACACGUGCCAUUGCAAAGAGCAGCAAAUCCCAUUCAGCUGCUACUGAUACCAUAACCCACACUAGUUUACACCAUGCAGAUAAUCUUGCAAAUUAGACUAACAAUUAAAUAGUAAAAGUUGAGAUGGAUAUGAUUUAUUGUGCUCCAUACAGAUAUAAUUACUCACGCAGCCAGCAAAAUAUGUCUUCAAAGUGAAAUGGUAGCCAAAUCUAAACGCAUACGAGCUUUUAAAUUCUGAUUCUUUCCCUGAUUCAUUUGAGAAAGGGACUUAAAAGGCCCAUAAUAAAUGGAUUAUAUCAAUGUCUGACUAAGCACUGACCAGACUGAAAUCCAUAACUCCAAUAUCAUAUGUAUAAGUAGAUAACAAACUCCACCUUAAAUUAUGACUUGUAGUUGUAAAUUAUGACCUGCAGUUGCAUUAAUAAACUCUAACAUUGAAAGUAUAAACAUUUUGUUAAUCUAGAUGAGAAUUCUUAUCUGAGUUGUUUGAGACACAUUUUCACCUUGUCACACGAAACCUGUGGUUAUUCAAAGAGUUCUAUAGUUCCUUUCUUUUCCUUGCAGUUUCUCAAAAGCAACAUGUGAUACGAGCCAGAUGAUCUGUUUUCUUGUGUGUUGGGGGGAAUGAUAUCGACUCAAUGAGAAGGUACAUUGUUUUUGGUAGUCAAUAGACCAGCACAUUCCUUGCAUGGCAAAUGUCCAGGGGGGAUCAGGGAGGCAGUAUAACAUGGGCAUCAGAUUCUUAAAAAACCUCCAGUGUCUAAACCCAUGACUUGACAUUGAACGCACUACCUCCUUGAAAAUGUGUUGUUUAUCUCUUUUAUCUCGUUGCCCUUCUUGCUCAACUUACCUGCUUCUGAUGCUCAGUGAAGCACAGCAACCAUCUGAUCUUGUAGCUGAACUGCCCUCUUCAUGUCCUGGUUCAUAUUCCAGAUCAGAAGCUUAACUACAACCUCUCCACCUUGCAUCAUUUUCCACCUCACCAUCAAAGCUAAUUCACUUAAUAGUAUCAUACCCUUACGCAAGUCUAAGGUUUGCUCCAUCUCCAUAGGAACAAAACUGAUGGAAUUAAGAAAACUCUGUAAUUCAUAAAAUGAGGGUGACUUUGUUGUUACAUAAUCCUUUUACAUUAAAAGAUAACCACCAUAAUGGCACAAUGCUUCUUUGUUCCGAUCUCCAUUGCAAAGUGACAUUUACUUUAUGCUGCAUUUAUGUCAGCCAUGUGUGGCAUUUGUAAUAUAAAAUAAUAAUGGGUUGAGAAAAUGAAUCAGACUGGAAGCUGACUCUUGCUCGUGUUCCUUUAUGACUUGAGAUUUGUGCCUUAUUUGAUUACACACCUCACUCCAGAAGGGUGGUUACCUAUCAUACAUGCCAACCUAGAAAAUCAAUAGCUGUCAGACCCGUCAGCAAAGUAGACAUACACCCAUGAAGAUGAUAGAUCACAAAGUCUUGGCAGGUGAAAACGCAAAGGUAUGCGGGUUUGUAAUUAAGUAGCAUGUGAAUGUACCAGUCCUUCAUUUGCAUGAAGACUUUAAAUAAGUUAAUCCCAUUCAUUCCAUCUGUUCACUGCCAUCUAUUUCUUCCUCUUUUGAUCUAUGUUUCGUUUCCAUAUUGAGGAAUCAGAAAGGAAUCUAAUUUUUACUCCAAUGCAGUGCCGCUGAUGAUGGUUGCACUUUGAUGGUGGUGUAAGUUUGGCCAAAUCUCAUCUCAUGAAUUUAACUCCACUUCUUUUUAAAUAUCUGAAUUGGUUUCUGACACCUCUUAGCACUGUUGCCAGCAUUACUGACACAAAUUACAACCUCAGCUGUAAUCUUGCAAUCAAGCAGCUGUAUUGCUUGCAAUCGGUUCAUUAACAAUGGGAGUAGUGCUAAAGGAAAUGAGAAGUUCCCUAACUCAAAUUUUGAGGAUAUUUUACAGGAUAAGGGCCCAAUCUGUGCUAAUAUAUAUCAGUGAAUGCAGUAUCACUGACCUGGAUUUGGAAACCACAUGAUAGUCACGUAACAUGCGUGACAUUCUCUUGAACCCGUUGAUGCAAUUUAUUUCAACAUUCGUUCCAAGUAAGUUGUUGUAUGUUGUCAUUAAUCAUUAAUAUUAUGUUGUCAUUAUUCCAUACAGGAAACAUGCCAUCUAAGUGAUAUUUUAUGGCAAAAGUGACUACACUUUAUGCUCAUCUCCCUCCAGGUUUCAGAUGUCCUGAAGGCAGCACAAUGCAAUUAAAUCGUAAAUUGUAGUUUUUACAGCAGGCUGUUAUAGAUUUUCUAAGUAUCAAUACUAGUUUAACUGAUAUUUAUCUUAUUGAUAUUUUUACGCAAGCAAUAAAUUUAAGAUUCUGCGCUCCUGUGGGAAUCUCGUCUGCUGAUAGCAGAGACUAGAAAAUCAGUCUGAAGAAGGUACUCGACCCGAAACGUCACCCAUUCCCUCCCUCUAGAGAUGCUGCCUAUCCCACUGAAUUACUCCAGUAUUUUGUGUCUACCACAUAAAAUCUUCUGUGUAUUCUGCAGUUUUUAUAUAAUUUUUCAAUAAUUAAUGAUAACUUACAGCAGAAUUUUA